CAGGCGUCGAGUGGCGGACGGGUGAGUAACGCAUGGGAAUCUGCCUUUUGCUGGGGGAUAACGUAGGGAAACUUACGCUAAUACCGCAUAAGACCUAAGGGUGAAAGCGGGGGAUCUUAGGACCUCGCGGCGAGAGAUGAGCCCAUGUUGGAUUAGCUAGUUGGUGGGGUAAAGGCCUACCAAGGCGACGAUCCAUAGCUGGUCUGAGAGGAUGAUCAGCCACACUGGGACUGAGACACGGCCCAGACUCC
RNAcentral lists this ribosomal RNA (251 nucleotides) under uncultured Cardiobacteriaceae bacterium. RNAcentral's name for it is "partial 16S ribosomal RNA". It matches the Rfam family "Bacterial small subunit ribosomal RNA", at positions 85 to 339 of the family's 1533-position model. The record is from RNAcentral. Lineage: Bacteria; Pseudomonadati; Pseudomonadota; Gammaproteobacteria; Cardiobacteriales; Cardiobacteriaceae.